ACCGCCGCUGACGUCGCGGGCUCCGAAUGAAGGGCGGACCGCGGCGCCGCCGCCGUGCGCUCCCCGCCCCCCGCCUUUGUUUCCGACCCGGCACCCGGCGGAGGCGCGAGCGGAUAACCGGGAGGCGCGGCGGUGGGGGCGGGCCCGAGGCGUGGCGAGCGGGAUGGAGCGGAGGCGCCGUGGGAGAGCGGCCGCCUCGGACCCGCAGACUCCGGCUGGCGGAGCCCCGGGAGUCUCCACUCUCGACCUACUGCCGGGCGGACGUGAGCGCCCCGCGAGGCCUGCGGUAAACACGCGUGCAGCGGCGGGGAGGCCCGGAGGACGCUCGGACCGCGAGCUCUUCUGAGUCCUGUGUUUCUGAUGUGGCUUGGAGGGAGCCCAAGUUUGAGCGCGGCUUUCCUCACCACUCCUGGGUCUCUGUUCCCCUACCUGGUAAAAGGAGGAUCAGCUGACCCAUGAAAGCCCGCGAGGACCCAACUGUGUCUUUUAGGUUCAAUUACUACCAGACAGUAAGCUAAUAAACCUGGUGUAUGGUAAACAC
RNAcentral lists this long non-coding RNA (541 nucleotides) under Mus musculus (house mouse). RNAcentral describes it as "long non-coding RNA chr3:95995918-95996459". Lineage: Eukaryota; Metazoa; Chordata; Mammalia; Rodentia; Muridae. The record is from RNAcentral.